CUAAUACAUGCAAGUAGAACGCUGAAGAGAGGAGCUUGCUCUUCUUGGAUGAGUUGCGAACGGGUGAGUAACGCGUAGGUAACCUGCCUUGUAGCGGGGGAUAACUAUUGGAAACGAUAGCUAAUACCGCAUAACAAUGGAUGACACAUGUCAUUUAUUUGAAAGGGGCAAUUGCUCCACUACAAGAUGGACCUGCGUUGUAUUAGCUAGUAGGUGAGGUAACGGCUCACCUAGGCGACGAUACAUAGCCGACCUGAGAGGGUGAUCGGCCACACUGGGACUGAGACACGGCCCAGACUCCUACGGGAGGCAGCAGUAGGGAAUCUUCGGCAAUGGGGGCAACCCUGACCGAGCAACGCCGCGUGAGUGAAGAAGGUUUUCGGAUCGUAAAGCUCUGUUGUAAGUCAAGAACGAGUGUGAGAGUGGAAAGUUCACACUGUGACGGUAGCUUACCAGAAAGGGACGGCUAACUACGUGCCAGCAGCCGCGGUAAUACGUAGGUCCCGAGCGUUGUCCGGAUUUAUUGGGCGUAAAGCGAGCGCAGGCGGUUUGAUAAGUCUGAAGUUAAAGGCUGUGGCUCAACCAUAGUUCGCUUUGGAAACUGUCAAACUUGAGUGCAGAAGGGGAGAGUGGAAUUCCAUGUGUAGCGGUGAAAUGCGUAGAUAUAUGGAGGAACACCGGUGGCGAAAGCGGCUCUCUGGUCUGUAACUGACGCUGAGGCUCGAAAGCGUGGGGAGCGAACAGGAUUAGAUACCCUGGUAGUCCACGCCGUAAACGAUGAGUGCUAGGUGUUGGAUCCUUUCCGGGAUUCAGUGCCGCAGCUAACGCAUUAAGCACUCCGCCUGGGGAGUACGACCGCAAGGUUGAAACUCAAAGGAAUUGACGGGGGCCCGCACAAGCGGUGGAGCAUGUGGUUUAAUUCGAAGCAACGCGAAGAACCUUACCAGGUCUUGACAUCCCGAUGCUAUUUCUAGAGAUAGAAAGUUACUUCGGUACAUCGGUGACAGGUGGUGCAUGGUUGUCGUCAGCUCGUGUCGUGAGAUGUUGGGUUAAGUCCCGCAACGAGCGCAACCCCUAUUGUUAGUUGCCAUCAUUCAGUUGGGCACUCUAGCGAGACUGCCGGUAAUAAACCGGAGGAAGGUGGGGAUGACGUCAAAUCAUCAUGCCCCUUAUGACCUGGGCUACACACGUGCUACAAUGGUUGGUACAACGAGUUGCGAGUCGGUGACGGCAAGCUAAUCUCUUAAAGCCAAUCUCAGUUCGGAUUGUAGGCUGCAACUCGCCUACAUGAAGUCGGAAUCGCUAGUAAUCGCGGAUCAGCACGCCGCGGUGAAUACGUUCCCGGGCCUUGUACACACCGCCCGUCACACCACGAGAGUUUGUAACACCCGAAGUCGGUGAGGUAACCUUUUGGAGCCAGCCGCCUAAGGUGGGAUAGAUGAUUGGGGUGAAGUCAUAA
This 1459-nucleotide ribosomal RNA is filed under the name uncultured organism. Its description in RNAcentral is "SSU rRNA". It matches the Rfam family "Bacterial small subunit ribosomal RNA". The record is from RNAcentral.